This 450-nucleotide ribosomal RNA is filed under the name uncultured bacterium. RNAcentral describes it as "partial 16S ribosomal RNA". It matches the Rfam family "Bacterial small subunit ribosomal RNA", at positions 354 to 796 of the family's 1533-position model. The record is from RNAcentral.
GUGGGGAAUAUUCCGCAAUGGACGAAAGUCUGACGGAGCAACGCCGCGUGAGUGAUGAAGGUUUUCGGACUGUAAAGCUCUGUUGUUUAGGACGAAAGUGCCUGUUGCAAACAGUUACAGGUAUUGACGGUACUAAACGAGGAAGCCACGGCUAACUACGUGCCAGCAGCCGCGGUAAUACGUAGGUGGCAAGCGUUGCCCGGAAUUAUUGGGCGUAAAGAGCAUGUAGGCGGGAAUCUAAGUCUGUUGUGAAAAUGCGGGGCUCAACCCCGUAUUGCGAUGGAAACUGGGUUUCUUGAGUGCAGGAGAGGAAAGGGGAAUUCCCAGUGUAGCGGUGAAAUGCGUAGAUAUUGGGAGGAACACCAGUGGCGAAGGCGCCUUUCUGGACUGUGUCUGACGCUGAGAUGCGAAAGCCAGGGUAGCGAACGGGAUUAGAAACCCCAGUAGUCC